UUAGGGGAAGGACGGCUAAGCUC
This 23-nucleotide small RNA is filed under the name Arabidopsis thaliana (thale cress). Its description in RNAcentral is "ATSL181910". The record is from RNAcentral. Lineage: Eukaryota; Viridiplantae; Streptophyta; Magnoliopsida; Brassicales; Brassicaceae.